UUGUUAUUUAUGGCAUUAUUAUUGAUUUUGUGGAUGUUUACAGUAUGGUUGAUACUUGUGAUGGUUAUAUGACUUGUUUGUAAGCACUGUUUGACCUGUUAUUGUUGUGUUAUUGAUUCAUUGAAUAUUUGUUAUGUGACGAUGUCCGACUUCUUAUUUUUUUUAUUUAUGUUGUGUACAUGCUAUUAAAUUGAGUUGACAUAUGAU
RNAcentral lists this long non-coding RNA (207 nucleotides) under Capsicum annuum. RNAcentral's name for it is "long non-coding RNA (CANN_LNC020175)". The record is from RNAcentral. Lineage: Eukaryota; Viridiplantae; Streptophyta; Magnoliopsida; Solanales; Solanaceae.